UUUUUUAAAGCGAAUAAGGGCGUAUGGCGGAUGCCUAGGGUCUGAGAGGCGAUGAAGGACGUGGUAAGCUGCGAUAAGCAACGGAAAGCUGCACACAAGCGUUAUAUCCGUUGAUUUCCGAAUGGGACAACCUAAUUACUUGAAGAGUAAUUACUCGAAAGAGAGCCAACCCGGAGAACUGAAACAUCUAAGUACCCGGAGGAAAAGAAAAUAAGAAUGAUUCCCCAAGUAGUGGCGAGCGAACAGGGAAGAGCCCAAACUUGAUCAGCGUGCUGAUCGAGGGUUGUAGGACUGCAUUUAGAAAGCGUUAUCAAAUUGAAGCAUCUGGAAAGUUGCGCCAUAGCAGGUGAUAGCCCUGUAGAUAGAAAUUAACGUGGACGAGCAGUAUCCUGAGUAGCGCGGGACCGGAGGAAUCCUGCGUGAAUCUGCCAGCACCAUCUGGUAAGGCUAAAUACUCCUCAGACACCGAUAGUGAACCAGUACCGUAAGGGAAAGGUGAAAAGCACCCCGAACAGGGGAGUGAAAUAGUACCUGAAACCGUACGCCUACAAGCGGUCGGAGCUAGUAAUAGUGACGGCGUGCCUUUUGCAUAAUGAGCCUACGAGUUGCUCCUCACUGGCGAGGUUAAGUUCGUAAACGAACGGAGCCGCAGCGAAAGCGAGUCCGAAUAGGGCAGAUAGUCAGUGGGGGCAGACGCGAAACUUUGUGAUCUAUCCAUGGGCAGGUUGAAGUUCUGGUAACACAGAAUGGAGGACCGAACCCGUUAACGUUGAAAAGUUCUGGGAUGACCUGUGGAUAGGGGUGAAAGGCCAAUCAAACUGAGAGAUAGCUCGUUCUCCCCGAAAUGUUUUUAGGAACAGCCUCGUAUAUAGAAGUUUAGCAGAGGUAGAGCUACUGAUUGGGCUAGGGGGCUUCACCGCCUACCAAACCCUGACAAACUCCGAAUGCUGCUAAAUAUCUACGGGAGUGAGGCUGCGGGCGCUAAGGUCCGUGGCCGAGAGGGAAAUAACCCAGAUUAGCAACUAAGGUCCCUAAUACAUGGUUAAGUUGAUCAAACGCGGUGGGAUUUCAAUAACAGCCAGGAUGUUGGCUUGGAAGCAGCCAUUCAUUUAAAGAGUGCGUAACAGCUCACUGGUCGAGAGAUCCUGCACGGAAAAUAAUCGGGCAUCAAACCAUGAACCGAAGUUCUAAAUUCAGCGCAAGCUGAGUGGUAGGGGAGCAUUGAAAUUACAUUGAAGCUGAUGGGCGACCAUUGGUGGAGUGAUUUCAAAAGAAAAUGUAGGCAUAAGUAACGAUAAUUAAAGUGAAAAACUUUAACGCCGAAAGUCUAAGGGUUCCUGAUCAACGUUAAUCGGAUCAGGGUUAGUCUGGUCCUUAGGAAAACCCGAAAGGGGCAUCUGAUGGAAAGAAGGUUAAUAUUCCUUCACCUGCUAUACAUUAAAAGUGACGCAUCGACGUGGUAGUUACGUUCUGACGGAAUAGAGCGUUAAGUGGAGCCUUCGGGCAAAGCGAAACUAUAAAAUUGGUGCCGAGAAAAGCGAGUAUAGCGGCCAGUACCGCAAACCGACACAGGUAGACGGGAUGAGUAUUCUAAGGCGCUCGGGUGAGCCGUGGAGAAGGAACUAGGCAAAUUAACGCUGUAACUUCGGGAUAAAGCGUACCGCAGCGAUGCGGUCUCAGUAAAAUGGUUCAACCAACUGUUUAACAAAAACACAGGGCCCUGCAAAAUCGAAAGAUGACGUAUAGAGCCUGAAACCUGCCCGGUGCCGGAAGGUUAAGGAAGGAUGUUCGGAG
Molecule: ribosomal RNA, 1794 nt
Filed under: Filimonas effusa
Lineage: Bacteria; Pseudomonadati; Bacteroidota; Chitinophagia; Chitinophagales; Chitinophagaceae
Description: Filimonas sp. TTM-71 partial 23S ribosomal RNA
Rfam family: Bacterial large subunit ribosomal RNA
Source: RNAcentral